AGAGUUUGAUCCUGGCUCAGGACGAACGCUGGCGGCGUGCCUAAUACAUGCAAGUCGAGCGUGAACCACAGGAGGGGUAACCCUCCUGCGGGGAAAGCGGCGAACGGGUGAGUAACACGUGGGCAACCUGCCCUCGACACUGGGAUAACCCCGGGAAACCGGGGCUAAUACCGCAUGAGACCACGGGGUCGCAUGGCCCUGAGGUCAAAGGUGGCCUCUGCUUGCAAGCUACCGGCUGAAGAUGGUCUCGCGUCCCAUUAGCUAGUUGGUGGGGUAAUGGCCUACCAAGGCGACGAUGGGUAGCUGGUCUGAGAGGAUGGUCAGCCACACUGGGACUGAGAUACGGCCCAGACUCCUACGGGGGGCAGCAGUCGUGAGGCUUUGGCAAUGGGGGAAACCCUGACCAAGCGACGCCGCGUGGAGGAUGAAGGCCCUUGGGUUGUAAACUCCUUUUGUUGGGGAAGAAACGCGAUCAGGUGAACAAUCUGGUCGUUUGACGGUACCCGACGAAUAAGCUCCGGCUAACUCCGUGCCAGCAGCCGCGGUAAU
Molecule: ribosomal RNA, 549 nt
Filed under: uncultured soil bacterium
Lineage: Bacteria
Description: bacterial SSU rRNA
Rfam family: Bacterial small subunit ribosomal RNA
Source: RNAcentral